CCUACGGGUGGCAGCAGUGAGGAAUAUUGGUCAAUGGCCGUAAGGCUGAACCAGCCAAGCCGCGUGAAGGAAGAAGGAUCUAUGGUUUGUAAACUGCUUUUAUAGGGGAAUAAAGGUAUCCACGUGUGGAUAUUUGCAUGUACCCUAUGAAUAAGCAUCGGCUAACUCCGUGCCAGCAGCCGCGGUAAUACGGAGGAUGCGAGCGUUAUCCGGAUUUAUUGGGUUUAAAGGGUGCGUAGGUGGUUCUUUAAGUCAGCGGUGAAAGUUUGUGGCUCAACCAUGACAUUGCCGUUGAAACUGGAAGACUUGAGUGUAGUUGAGGUAGGCGGAAUGCGUGGUGUAGCGGUGAAAUGCAUAGAGAUCACGCAGAACACCGAUUGCGAAGGCAGCUUACUAAGCCAUAACUGACACUGAAGCACGAAAGCGUGGGGAGCAAACAGGAUUAGAUACCCGUGUAGUC
This 460-nucleotide ribosomal RNA is filed under the name uncultured bacterium. Its description in RNAcentral is "partial 16S ribosomal RNA". It matches the Rfam family "Bacterial small subunit ribosomal RNA", at positions 338 to 795 of the family's 1533-position model. The record is from RNAcentral.